Molecule: ribosomal RNA, 487 nt
Filed under: uncultured bacterium
Lineage: Bacteria
Description: bacterial SSU rRNA
Rfam family: Bacterial small subunit ribosomal RNA
Source: RNAcentral
GAUGAACGCUAGCGGAGGCUUAACACAUGCAAGUCGAGGGGCAGCAUAGGGUAGCAAUACUCUGAUGGCGACCGGCAAACGGGUGAGUAACGCGUAUGUAACCUACCCUGUACAGGGGGAUAACCCGGAGAAAUUCGGACUAAUAUCCCAUAACAAUAUCCGGGGGCAUCUUUGGAUAUUUAAAGUUCCGGCGGUACGGGAUGGGCAUGCGUAACAUUAGCUAGUUGGUAAGGUAACGGCUUACCAAGGCUUUGAUGUUUAGGGGUCCUGACGAGGGUGGUCCCCCACACUGGUACUGAGACACGGACCAGACUCCUACGGGAGGCAGCAGUGAGGAAUAUUGGUCAAUGGGCGCAAGCCUGAACCAGCCAUCCCGCGUGCAGGAAGACGGCGCUAUGCGUUGUAAACUGCUUUUCCAGGGAGAGAAACUUGCGCACGUGUUGCGCAAUUGACGGUACCCUGGGAAUAAGCAUCGGCUAACUCCGUG